Molecule: ribosomal RNA, 369 nt
Filed under: uncultured organism
Description: bacterial SSU rRNA
Rfam family: Bacterial small subunit ribosomal RNA
Source: RNAcentral
CGAAGGGGGCAAGCGUGUUCGGAAUUACUGGGCGUAAAGGGCGCGUAGGCGGCUUAUCAAGUCAGGCGUGAAAUUCCCGGGCUCAACCUGGGGGCUGCGCUUGAUACUGAUGAGCUUGAAUGCGGGAGAGGAUAGUGGAAUUCCCAGUGUAGAGGUGAAAUUCGUAGAUAUUGGGAAGAACACCGGUGGCGAAGGCGGCUAUCUGGCCCGUAAUUGACGCUGAGGCGCGAAAGCGUGGGGAGCAAGCAGGAUUAGAUACCCUGGUAGUCCACGCCGUAAACGAUGAAUGCUUGACGUUGGCGAGCAUGCUCGUCAGUGUCGGAGCUAACGCAUUAAGCAUUCCGCCUGGGGAGUACGGUCGCAAGAUUA